This 2783-nucleotide long non-coding RNA is filed under the name Homo sapiens (human). RNAcentral describes it as "HSALNT0031253". The record is from RNAcentral. Lineage: Eukaryota; Metazoa; Chordata; Mammalia; Primates; Hominidae.
AGAUGGGAACAGGACUGGGAAAGUCUACAGGAUAUUGUGCUCUGGAGUUAAAUAGCUUCUGAAGAAGAGAAAAAGCAAGAAGACUUUUUGUUUCUAAUUUUUUUUUUUUUUUUUUUGUAGAGACUGGGUCUCAUUGUGUUGCCCAGGCUGGUCUCAAACUUCUAGGCUCAAGCAACCCUUCCACCUCAGCCUCCCAAAGUGCUGGAAUUACACGUGUGAGCCACCAUGCCCAGCUUAAAGGCUUCCCCUGAGAGUAUUUUCAUCAGAGGACACAGAUGUAUUUUUGCAUAGCAUCCUCAAUAAAAAGAGCUAAGUCACAUUUCCACCUCAAGAGAGAAUUCAUUCUAUUAAGAACUCUAUCUAGCUAUCUGUCAUCUAUCUAUCUAUCUAGCUAUCAUCUAUCUGUCUAUCUAUCUAUCUAUCUAUCUAUCUAUCUAUCUAUCUAUCAUUUCAACCACGGAAUUAAUAGCAGAAACCAUGAACAUUAUAUCUGAACUUUUUGGAUCUUUAAAAACCAAGCAGGACUUCUGCUUCUAGGAAGAUGGAGUAGAGGCACUUCCCCCUAAUUUUUCUUGCAAAUUACAACAAAAACCCUGGACAUUAUAAAAACAACAACAAGAAGAUUCUGAAAAGUGGAGAAAAUAAAGCAGACUGUCCAGGGACCUUGCGACCUGAGCAACAACAUGGCAGUGAGUUCCCUGGUUUUUCCUUUUGCCUCAUAUAUGUAGACUUGGAGCUAAGGAAGCAGGAGCUCAGAAACACCAAAGGAUGUAGAAAGGCCCCAGUAAAAACUUGCUGUCUCUACCCAAAGGAUGAAGAAAAGGACAAGCAAGACAGAAAGCUUCUAGAUAAUAACCGCUCUGCUCCAACCAAACACCACAGGAAGGCUGCAGCCCCACCUGCAUCCAUGGCAGCAGAGUGGGGAGCCUAGACUUCCACCCUCACCAGGCCUCGCCAAGGCACCCCUCCUUCUUUCUGCUAUGGUAGCAUCAGAGGAGGCCAAGGAAGGAGCUGGGAUUAUCCCUGGGUGGUAAUGAGCCCCCCUUCUGCCCACGGGGUUAGUGGAGAACAUACAAGAAGCCUGGACCCCUAACUGUCAAUAGGGAGGCUCCCCUCCCCUUCCUGCUGGAUGGUGUCAGAAGAGGCCUACUGGAGAGUCAGGACUUUCAGCACUGCCCAGUGAUAACAAGGUGAUGUUCACCACAGUGUCAGGAGAGACCACUUGGGAGCCCAAACUCCCACCCCUGCCUAGCAGUAAUGAGAAGUCCUUUCCUUGAGUGUCACUGGAAGCAGAGCAGGGAGCCUGGACACCUGUCAGUGAUACAGUGGCACACCUCCUUUACCCUGCCAGAGGGGUGUCCUAGAAUACCAGCUAAAGCAGAAGGUUUACAUAAGAUCCAGUCUUAUAACAUAUUACAAAAAUAUUCAGGUUUCAGUUAAAAAAAAAAUAAAUAAAUAAAUAAAAAUCGGUCUUCAUACCAAAAACCAGGAAGAUCAUGAAUAAAGGAAAAAAGAUGUCAACACUGAGAAAACAGAUAUCAGAAUGAUCCGAUGAAGAUUUUAAAGCAUCCAUAGUUAAAAGUGCUUCAAUGAACAAUUAUGAACAUAUAUAAAACAAAUGAAAACAACACAUCUCAGCAAAUAAAUAUAAAGAAGAUAUAAAGAAAAGUCAAAUAAAAAUUUUAGAACUGAGACAUACAAUAAUUGAAAUAAAAAACUCAGUGGGGCCGGGUGCGGUGGCUCAUGCCUGUAAUCCGGGCACUCUGGGAGGCCGAGGUGGGUGGAUCAGGAGGUCAGGCAUUCGAGAUCAGCCUGGCCAACAUAGUGAAAUCCCAUCUCUACUAAAAAUACAAAAAAUGAGCCGGGUGUGGUGGCAGGUGCCUGUAAUCCCAGCUACCUGGGAGGCUGAGGCAGGAGAAUUGCUUGAACCUGGAAGGUGGAGGUUGCAGUGAGCCGAGAUCAUGCCACUGCACUCCUGCCUGGGCAACAGUGCGAGACUCCAUCUCAAAAAACAAAAACAAAAACAAAAACAAACAAACGAAAAACAGUGGAUAGGCUCAAUGGCAGAAUGGAGGGGACAGAGGACAGAAUUAAUGACCUGGGUGACAGAACAAUAGGUGUUACCCAGUCUGACCAACGGAGAGAAAAUAGACUGAAAAAUGCAUGCUCAGAGCCUUAGGGACCUGUGACCUAUAACAAGAAACCUAACAUUCCUGUCAUCAGAGUUCCAGAAAGGGAAAAAGAGAGUGACUGAAAAAAAAAAUACUCAAAGAAAUGGAUGAAAACUUCAUAGAUUUGACAAAAGACAUGAAGCUAUAGACUUAAGAAGCUGAGCAAACCCUCAAGAGAGUAAACUUAAGAAAAGCUAUUCCAAGACACAUCAUAGUCAAACUUCUGAGGACUAAGGACAAAGGAAAAAAAUCUUAAAAGCAGUGCAAGAGAAACAACAGCUCGUAUAUAAAGGAAAAACAAUGGAAUGACGGCAGCUAUCUCAACAGAAACCAUGGAGGCCAGAAAUCCCACAGGACUGAAGAAUCUACUUUUCAACAGAUCCCCAGUGAUUUGCAUGCUCAUUUAAAUUUGAGAAGCUCUGCUCUGGAGAGGUCCCACAACACUUAUCCCCAAGAGGCCUGAGCUGCCCAGUUCCUACUGCUCUGAGAAGUGGGGUUCCAUGCUCCCUUGGAUUCAAAGGCUCCUGUUGACUUGCCUUUUUCUAACUCUGGCCAGCUUGGUUUCUGUAUUUCUUUUUUUUUUCUUUUUGAGACGGAGUCUCACUCUGUCCC